This 256-nucleotide unclassified non-coding RNA is filed under the name Bombus terrestris (buff-tailed bumblebee). Its description in RNAcentral is "misc RNA ENSBTSG00005026407.1". Lineage: Eukaryota; Metazoa; Arthropoda; Insecta; Hymenoptera; Apidae. The record is from RNAcentral.
GAUGAAAACACAUUAACCUACCGGUGAAGCACGAUUUAUAGGAAUCGAACAGAAUUGAUGGAAAGGAUCCUGGAGGAACGUAUUCUAUUCUGAAUAGAACUGACAAAUUGUCGAAUGCCGUUCGACAAUUGAUACAAGCUGAAUCGCCGUGAAAGAGCUAAUUGCUAGUCAUUGAAUUCCAAAAUAAUGGGCAUUCGUCGAUCAUCACGAAACGACGAAUUCAUUACAUAAUUAUCAAUGAGUUAUUUGUGUUCAG